ACUAAAUAGAUACCCUGGUAGUCCACGCCCUAAACGAUGUCUACUAGUUGUUGGUGGAGUAAAAUCCAUGAGUAAACGCAGCUAAACGCGUGAAGUAGACCGCCUGGGGAGUACGGUCGCAAGAUUAAAACUCAAAGGAAUUGACGGGGGCCCGCACAAGCGGUGGAUUAUGUGGAUUAAAUUCGAUGCAACGCGAAAAACCUUACCUGGCCUUGACAUGCCACUAACGAAGCAGAGAUGCAUUAGGUGCCCGUAAGGGAAAGUGGACACAGGUGCUGCAUGGCUGUCGUCAGCUUGUGUCGUGAGAUGUUGGGUUAAGUCCCGCAACGAGCGCAACCCUUGCCAUUAAUUGCCAUCAUUUAGUUGGGCACUUUAAUGGGACUGCCGGUGACAAACCGGAGGAAGGUGGGGAUGACGUCAAGUCCUCAUGGCCCUUAUGGCCAGGGCUUCACACGUAAUACAAUGGUCGGUACAGAGAGUUGCCAACCCGCGAGGGGAGCUAAUCUCAGAAAGCCGAUCGUAGUCCGGAUUGUUCUCUGC
Molecule: ribosomal RNA, 540 nt
Filed under: uncultured bacterium
Lineage: Bacteria
Description: bacterial SSU rRNA
Rfam family: Bacterial small subunit ribosomal RNA
Source: RNAcentral